This 875-nucleotide ribosomal RNA is filed under the name Escherichia coli. RNAcentral's name for it is "partial 23S ribosomal RNA". It matches the Rfam family "Bacterial large subunit ribosomal RNA", at positions 315 to 1194 of the family's 2925-position model. The record is from RNAcentral. Lineage: Bacteria; Pseudomonadati; Pseudomonadota; Gammaproteobacteria; Enterobacterales; Enterobacteriaceae.
AAUCAGUGUGUGUGUUAGUGGAAGCGUCUGGAAAGGCGCGCGAUACAGGGUGACAGCCCCGUACACAAAAAUGCACAUGCUGUGAGCUCGAUGAGUAGGGCGGGACACGUGGUAUCCUGUCUGAAUAUGGGGGGACCAUCCUCCAAGGCUAAAUACUCCUGACUGACCGAUAGUGAACCAGUACCGUGAGGGAAAGGCGAAAAGAACCCCGGCGAGGGGAGUGAAAAAGAACCUGAAACCGUGUACGUACAAGCAGUGGGAGCACGCUUCGGCGUGUGACUGCGUACCUUUUGUAUAAUGGGUCAGCGACUUAUAUUCUGUAGCAAGGUUAACCGAAUAGGGGAGCCGAAGGGAAACCGAGUCUUAACUGGGCGUUAAGUUGCAGGGUAUAGACCCGAAACCCGGUGAUCUAGCCAUGGGCAGGUUGAAGGUUGGGUAACACUAACUGGAGGACCGAACCGACUAAUGUUGAAAAAUUAGCGGAUGACUUGUGGCUGGGGGUGAAAGGCCAAUCAAACCGGGAGAUAGCUGGUUCUCCCCGAAAGCUAUUUAGGUAGCGCCUCGUGAAUUCAUCUCCGGGGGUAGAGCACUGUUUCGGCAAGGGGGUCAUCCCGACUUACCAACCCGAUGCAAACUGCGAAUACCGGAGAAUGUUAUCACGGGAGACACACGGCGGGUGCUAACGUCCGUCGUGAAGAGGGAAACAACCCAGACCGCCAGCUAAGGUCCCAAAGUCAUGGUUAAGUGGGAAACGAUGUGGGAAGGCCCAGACAGCCAGGAUGUUGGCUUAGAAGCAGCCAUCAUUUAAAGAAAGCGUAAUAGCUCACUGGUCGAGUCGGCCUGCGCGGAAGAUGUAACGGGGCUAAACCAUGCAC